GAUGAACGCUGGCGGCGUGCUUAACACAUGCAAGUCGGACGGAAAGGCCCCAGCUUGCUGGGGUACUCGAGUGGCGAACGGGUGAGUAACACGUGGGUGAUCUGCCCUGCACUUUGGGAUAAGCUUGGGAAACUGGGUCUAAUACCGAAUAUGACCACUUCUUGGAAGUUGUGGUGGAAAGCGUUUGCGGUGUGGGAUGAGCCUGCGGCCUAUCAGCUUGUUGGUGGGGUAAUGGCCUACCAAGGCGGCGACGGGUAUCCGGCAUGAGAGGGUGUACGGACACAUUGGGACUGAGAUACGGCCCAGACUCCUACGGGAGGCAGCAGUGGGGAAUAUUGCACAAUGGGCGCAAGCCUGAUGCAGCGACGCCGCGUGGGGGAUGAAGGCCUUCGGGUUGUAAACUCCUUUCGCUAUCGACGAAGCCACUUGUGGUGACGGUAGGUAGAUAAGAAGCACCGGCUAACUACGUGCCAGCAGCCGCCGUAA
RNAcentral lists this ribosomal RNA (486 nucleotides) under uncultured bacterium. RNAcentral describes it as "partial 16S ribosomal RNA". It matches the Rfam family "Bacterial small subunit ribosomal RNA", at positions 28 to 523 of the family's 1533-position model. The record is from RNAcentral.